Molecule: ribosomal RNA, 468 nt
Filed under: uncultured bacterium
Lineage: Bacteria
Description: partial 16S ribosomal RNA
Rfam family: Bacterial small subunit ribosomal RNA
Source: RNAcentral
GAUGAACGCUGGCGGCGUGCUUAACACAUGCCAGUCGAACGGAAAGGCCCAAGCUUGCUUGGGUACUCGGGUGGCGAACGGGUGAGUAACACGUGGGUGAUCUGCCCUGCACUUCGGGAUAAGCCUGGGAAACUGGGUCUAAUACCGGAUAGGACGAUGGUUUGGAUGCCAUUGUGGAAAGUUUUUUCGGUGUGGGAUGAGCUCGCGGCCUAUCAGCUUGUUGGUGGGGUAAUGGCCUACCAAGGCGUCGACGGGUAGCCGGCCUGAGAGGGUGUACGGCCACAUUGGGACUGAGAUACGGCCCAGACUCCUACGGGAGGCAGCAGUGGGGAAUAUUGCACAAUGGGCGCAGGCCUGAUGCAGCGACGCCGCGUGGGGGAUGACGGCCUUCGGGUUGUAAACUCCUUUCGCUAGGGACGAAGCGUUUUUGUGACGGUACCUGGAGAAGAAGCACCGGCUAACUACGUG